This 223-nucleotide ribosomal RNA is filed under the name uncultured Enterobacterales bacterium. Its description in RNAcentral is "partial 16S ribosomal RNA". It matches the Rfam family "Bacterial small subunit ribosomal RNA", at positions 108 to 334 of the family's 1533-position model. Lineage: Bacteria; Pseudomonadati; Pseudomonadota; Gammaproteobacteria; Enterobacterales. The record is from RNAcentral.
GGGUAAUGUCUGGGAAACUGCCUGAUGGAGGGGGAUAACUACUGGAAACGGUAGCUAAUACCGCAUAACGUCUCCGGACCAAAGUGGGGGACCUUCGGGCCUCACACCAUCGGAUGUGCCCAGAUGGGAUUAGCUUGUGGGUGGGGUAAUGGCUCACCUAGGCGACGAUCCCUAGCUGGUCUGAGAGGAUGACCAGCCACACUGGAACUGAGACACGGUCCAG